This 404-nucleotide ribosomal RNA is filed under the name uncultured Rickettsiales bacterium. Its description in RNAcentral is "bacterial SSU rRNA". It matches the Rfam family "Bacterial small subunit ribosomal RNA", at positions 355 to 776 of the family's 1533-position model. The record is from RNAcentral. Lineage: Bacteria; Pseudomonadati; Pseudomonadota; Alphaproteobacteria; Rickettsiales.
UGGGGAAUAUUGGACAAUGGAGGCAACUCUGAUCCAGCAAUGCCGCGUGUGUGAUGAAGGCCCUAGGGUUGUAAAGCACUUUCAACGGUGAAGAUGAUGACGGUAGCCGUAGAAGAAGCCCCGGCUAACUUCGUGCCAGCAGCCGCGGUAAUACGAAGGGGGCGAGCGUUAUUCGGAAUUAUUGGGCGUAAAGGGCUCGCAGGCUGCUUGAACAGUUAGACGUGAAAUCCCCGGGCUCAACCUGGGAACUGCGUUUAAUACUAGCAAGCUAGAGAGAUAGAGAGGAAAGUGGAACUCCCAGUGUAGAGGUGAAAUUCGUAGAUAUUGGGAAGAACACCAGUGGCGAAAGCGACUUUCUGGCUAUUUUCUGACGCUGAGGAGCGAAAGCGUGGGGAGCAAACAGG